UACGUAGGGGGCAAGCGUUGUCCGGAUUUAUUGGGCGUAAAGAGCGUGUAGGCGGCCUGACAGGUCAGCUGUGAAAACUCGAGGCUCAACCUCGAGACGUCGGUUGAAACCAUCUGGCUAGAGUCCGGAAGAGGAGAGUGGAAUUCCCGGUGUAGCGGUGAAAUGCGCAGAUAUCGGGAAGAACACCCGUGGCGAAGGCGGCUCUCUGGGACGGUACUGACGCUGAGACGCGAAAGCGUGGGGAGCGAACAGG
Molecule: ribosomal RNA, 253 nt
Filed under: uncultured bacterium
Lineage: Bacteria
Description: partial 16S ribosomal RNA
Rfam family: Bacterial small subunit ribosomal RNA
Source: RNAcentral